Long non-coding RNA from Capsicum annuum, 949 nucleotides. RefSeq lists it as uncharacterized. Lineage: Eukaryota; Viridiplantae; Streptophyta; Magnoliopsida; Solanales; Solanaceae. The transcript has 5 exons. The record is from RefSeq and is a predicted model, not a curated record.
AACGACCAAGGUAGAGUAGGAAUUUCACGCUGAUAAAAAUCAUCCCUUUCCAUGCUCUAGAACCAUCCGGUGCUCUCUUUAGCCAUUCCAUUGAUGACCAUCAAUUCAAUAUACCUAAAAACUCUCUCUAUUUCUCCUGCUGCUUUCCCUCACCCCCCACCCCACCACCACUAUCACCGUCCUCCUCCGAUGAAUCUCUGUGAGAGAUUGGAAAGUUUCAAGUUUCGUUAUGGAUGAAUUUGCCUGUGUGAAGCUACUAUGUAGAAAUUUGAAGCAAAGACCAACUAAGGGCAAUGCUGUAAAUAUCUCCAUUUUCAAGGAUAAGCUUGUUUUUUAAAUCAAACCACGAAGUUUCCUUUUCUAAAUCUUUCUCUGUCUCUCUCUAAACUUUUCUUAAAACAUCAAACAAAAACAAAAAAAUCCAAGGCAGUAUCGGAAAAAUGGCGUGUGGCGAUGGUGCUGCUGAUUCGAUGGACAUGGCACAAAGAGUUAAUAUCAAUGCGAUCACUUCAAAAACAGAAGAGUCGACCUGCAAAGUACAGAUUGUUGAUAAAAGACGCCUAAUAUAAACUACAGAAUGAAGAGUUGAUCAUUCUUCAUCGAGUGGAAUGCUUCUGUUUCCUAAGAGCACGUACCAGCCCAGGAACAUGAGGCGCAAAAGGACACAUGGUUUCGUUGCUCGGUGGUUGUUUUUGGCUUUGACAUUUGGUUUUCUAUCAUAGGCGGUUUCAGUUUGUUAAUAUCUAUGUAUGUCAAUGGUAUCAACAUUUCACAACAAUCCGGUUACUUUGCCAAUAGGUGUUUCACCGUGAAUGCUCGAGACAUUGAUUACAACAACUAUUGCAUCUACUAUUGUAGAUGUAGAAUUUAUAAAUAUUAUCCCUAGCAAUGUAAAUAAACAACAAUCAAUCACUAUCAUAUGUAAAAGUGAGCAUCCAAUAGUAUGUUA